UCACUGAAUCUAAUCAAGGGCAAAUGCUGAAGAAGCAUGUGAUUCAAGGAAAGCAGCAUCAAAAUGGAGCAGCUAGCUGCUGGCAUUGGUGAGGACAUGCAUGAAAGGUAGCAAUGAUGCAGGAUGUCAGGAUGAGAUGACAGAACAGUCGAAAAGAUGCCAGUCAAACCCAAAGACAAUGCCAGCAGCAAAGCCUCAUGAACAACCCUACAAUAACCAACUAUUGUGAACAGCCUGUCAACACUGCAAAGCAACCCUAGAACAAAGCCACACGAGAAGGCCAUCUCUAGGGACCAGGCUGCCAGGAGUUAACUCAAGGAACCAGAAACUUCAAAGGAAGAGGAAAGAAACCGAACAACUACAAAGUCACUUACACAGAGAGGAAGUUUCAAG
Molecule: long non-coding RNA, 393 nt
Organism: Alligator sinensis (Chinese alligator)
Lineage: Eukaryota; Metazoa; Chordata; Crocodylia; Alligatoridae
Exons: 3
Source: RefSeq, a predicted model, not a curated record